RNAcentral lists this long non-coding RNA (1329 nucleotides) under Junco hyemalis (dark-eyed junco). RNAcentral's name for it is "lncRNA (ENSJHYG00000016660.1)". Lineage: Eukaryota; Metazoa; Chordata; Aves; Passeriformes; Passerellidae. The record is from RNAcentral.
CUGGGGGCGGUGCCGGGGGAGGCUACGGUCCCGGUGCCGGCCCCGCCGGUAACUCCGCCUGCCGUAUUAAUGGGAAAACAAGCGGCUGCAGAGCGUUGGGCCGAGCCGUGCUGUGCCGUGUCGGAUCGGGCGGAGCCGGGUCAUGGUCCCCAGGGCGGCGGCAGCCCCAGCCUAGCGCGGCGGGGGUGGCGGGGGGAUGCGGCGGGAGCCGCCAGAGCGGCUGGCGCGGAGCAGCGCUGGGAUGGAGUCACCACAGGCCCCUCGGCCACCUCAGCCCACCCAGCCCCUCACUGCUGCUGCUGGACCAGGUAGGACCCUGGGCUACAGUUCCUUGCCUACCAGCCACCCCGACACCACAGGAAUGGGCUUCCCAAUGCCACUGUCCCCGUCGCUGUGGCACGGGGUGCUGCCUUGCCGGACCCAGCCCAGUUCCCACACACUGUAACACAGCAGAGCCAAUGCUGGGCCAGUUUUUGGGGGGCAAACCUGCCCUCCCAGCUCUGCAGGGAGGCACUGGGACCCCCAUCUCCUUUCUCAUGGCAUCUUGCUCUUCCCAGCCCAUCACAUGGACAGACACCCCAAGGCCACUGGAGUCACCUCAGCUCUGGCAGCUGCACCCCCCCAGCUUUGGAGCAGGUAAUGAGGAGGAACCCAAGUCCCCUCCCCAUCUCUGCAUAGUCAAUGCUUAUUGUUAAAUAAAGGAAAUUCUUUUUCUCCAAGAAACAUCCUCCCUGUUGUCCUCUGCUGCUCUUUAAAGCCAAGUGUCCACCCAUCUUUAGUGCAACACAGAGCAGCCAGCGUCAACCCGUGCACCCAGGCCCUUGGUGGCCACAACACCCAAUGCUCAGAGGACGUGGUGAGGUGACAGCUGGGGGGGUCCCUGUUGUGGGCAGAGAAGGUGCACAUCUCCCAGUGCUGGUGACAACUCUCGAAGGGCUGAUAUGGAAGGUCAGUGCUACAACCCACUUAGUCCUUCCUCUGUCCCCACCAUGCACUGAGGCAAACUUGUGCUGAUGUCCUCAUUGUCACACAGCUGUGCCACACUGUGGCUGGGGACUCUGCCCACCCUGGCCACCCAACAGCAUUGUCCCAGAGCACUGGGGUGCUUGGUGCUGGCACACAGUGGGCAUCAGACCCCAUGUCCCACAGCAGCUGAAGCCACCAUCAGCCUUGCUUUCCAGCCCAGGGGACAUGUCACAGCCAUGGGUCACAGAAGACAACAAAGCCAGAGGGUACUGAGCCAGCACAGCUCCUCUGGCAUAGGGAGGUGAUGCAGGUAUCACUGCUUACAUGUGGGUUGGGGCACCCACCACAACACCCCUCUGCCAC